GUAGCUCAGCUGGUAGAGCGUGCGCUGUGCAAAAGCGUAGGCGGCCCUCAUGCGUGGGUUAAAAUCCCACC
RNAcentral lists this transfer RNA (71 nucleotides) under Echinostoma caproni. It matches the Rfam family "tRNA", at positions 7 to 64 of the family's 71-position model. Rfam says of the family: Transfer RNA (tRNA) molecules are approximately 80 nucleotides in length. Their secondary structure includes four short double-helical elements and three loops (D, anti-codon, and T loops). Further hydrogen bonds mediate the characteristic L-shaped molecular structure. tRNAs have two regions of fundamental functional importance: the anti-codon, which is responsible for specific mRNA codon recognition, and the 3' end, to which the tRNAs corresponding amino acid is attached (by aminoacyl-tRNA synthetases). tRNAs cope with the degeneracy of the genetic code in two manners: having more than one tRNA (with a specific anti-codon) for a particular amino acid; and 'wobble' base-pairing, i.e. permitting non-standard base-pairing at the 3rd anti-codon position. Lineage: Eukaryota; Metazoa; Platyhelminthes; Trematoda; Plagiorchiida; Echinostomatidae. The record is from Rfam by way of RNAcentral.